Molecule: long non-coding RNA, 758 nt
Organism: Pollicipes pollicipes
Lineage: Eukaryota; Metazoa; Arthropoda; Thecostraca; Pollicipedomorpha; Pollicipedidae
Exons: 4
Source: RefSeq, a predicted model, not a curated record
GCAGCGUCGGGCAAGGGCACACCGCAGCCAUGCUCUCCAAAAUCAGCAUCACUCGGUCUGCCGGCGUUUUGUCCAGGCUCGUCAUCAUUUCCGUGAUCCUCAGCGCUCUGUGCGACUUAACCACCGCAGGAGGCUGGAAAUUAAUAGUAUGCUACAGUGAUAAAGACUGCCCGAGGGCCGGACCGUACUGCGUGGCGAAGAAAUGCCGACCCAUCACGGCCUACUGCACUGGCAAUGAGACCGGUGUGGCGUCGUGCAACAGCUGCGUCUGCUUAAAUGGUGGCUGGGCGUGCACGAGGAAGGCGUGCGCCAGGAGCUUCCCUUACAACGGAGCCGUGCCAUGCCGCCUGGCGGAGGAUUUGUGCCGGAGCCAAAGCUCGGUACGUUACUGGUGGUGCAGUCGCAUAGAACGUUUACAUUAUGAAAUGCUCGUUCAAAUGGCGAAUGAAUUAAAAGAGAGAUAAAAAAGAAUUAAAAUCAAGGAGAAAAUGAUGAAAUGAAUGAAUGCUUAAAAUUGAAUAGUAAUCUCCGUCAUCGCCUUAAGCAGUGCGAUGCACUAGCUGUUGAUUAGCUUCAGCGCCUACUUGGCAGUAACACCUUCCUAACAACGUAGAAUUAAACAAAGGUUUUUGACAUUAUCGGUGAGAUAGCUCAAUAAAUCGUGCAAAGGCACAAUGCAAGGACAUUUACAUUGCCACAGAACAAAAGAACAACAUACCAAAACUACUACAUGCAAUUAACCACGAGAAGAUGAAACG